Molecule: RNase P RNA, 292 nt
Filed under: archaeon RBG_16_50_20
Lineage: Archaea
Description: RNase P RNA component
Rfam family: Archaeal RNase P
About the family: Ribonuclease P (RNase P) is a ubiquitous endoribonuclease, found in archaea, bacteria and eukarya as well as chloroplasts and mitochondria. Its best characterised activity is the generation of mature 5'-ends of tRNAs by cleaving the 5'-leader elements of precursor-tRNAs. Cellular RNase Ps are ribonucleoproteins.
Source: RNAcentral
GCGAGUUGGUGGGCGACUCCGGACCCUGCGUGAGGGCCUGAGGAAACUCCACCCACAUGGCGGAGGCGUGGCAUCGCGAGGUGCCGGCUGAGAGGUCGGGUAAAGGCGCAGAAAGAUACCUCUGCCAGUCGUGGACGAUGAUGCGUUUACGUUGAGGAGACUGGCGGUAAGGGUGAAAGGCCAACCCACGCCGUGAAAGGGAUAAUAGGCGCCCGUGAACACCGCCCGAGGCGCGGGUAUCCCGAUAAGAUGAAUGUCGCCUAAAACAGAAGGUGGGUUACGACCAACACGC